UAGGGGAAUUUUCGUUCAAUGGGCGCGAAGCCUGAACGAGCAAUGCCGCGUGAACGAGGAAGGUCUUCGGAUCGUAAAGUUCUGUUGAAGGGGAAAAAGAGCGGAGAGAGGAAAUGGUCUCCGAUUGAUAUUACCCUUCGAGGAAGUCACGGCUAACUACGUGCC
This 165-nucleotide ribosomal RNA is filed under the name uncultured bacterium. RNAcentral describes it as "partial 16S ribosomal RNA". It matches the Rfam family "Bacterial small subunit ribosomal RNA", at positions 354 to 509 of the family's 1533-position model. The record is from RNAcentral.